This 617-nucleotide ribosomal RNA is filed under the name uncultured bacterium. Its description in RNAcentral is "bacterial SSU rRNA". It matches the Rfam family "Bacterial small subunit ribosomal RNA", at positions 215 to 851 of the family's 1533-position model. The record is from RNAcentral.
GCGGUACAGGAUGGACCCGCGUCUGAUUAGCUAGUUGGUAAGGUAACGGCUUACCAAGGCGACGAUCAGUAGCCGACCUGAGAGGGUGAUCGGCCACAUUGGAACUGAGACACGGUCCAAACUCCUACGGGAGGCAGCAGUGGGGAAUAUUGCACAAUGGGCGAAAGCCUGAUGCAGCAACGCCGCGUGAGCGAUGAAGGCCUUCGGGUCGUAAAGCUCUGUCCUCAAGGAAGAUAAUGACGGUACUUGAGGAGGAAGCCCCGGCUAACUACGUGCCAGCAGCCGCGGUAAUACGUAGGGGGCUAGCGUUAUCCGGAAUUACUGGGCGUAAAGGGUGCGUAGGUGGUUUCUUAAGUCAGAGGUGAAAGGCUACGGCUCAACCGUAGUAAGCCUUUGAAACUGGGAAACUUGAGUGCAGGAGAGGAGAGUGGAAUUCCUAGUGUAGCGGUGAAAUGCGUAGAUAUUAGGAGGAACACCAGUUGCGAAGGCGGCUCUCUGGACUGUAACUGACACUGAGGCACGAAAGCGUGGGGAGCAAACAGGAUUAGAUACCCUGGUAGUCCACGCCGUAAACGAUGAGUGCUAGCUGUCGGAGGUUACCCCCUUCGGUGGCGCAG